GAUGAACGCUGGCGGCGUGCCUAACACAUGCAAGUCGAGCGAUUCUCCUCGGAGAAGAGCGGCGGACGGGUGAGUAACGCGUGGGUAACCUGCCCUGUACACACGGAUAACAUACCGAAAGGUAUGCUAAUACGAGAUAAUAUGCUUUUAUCGCAUGGUAGAAGUAUCAAAGCUCCGGCGGUACAGGAUGGACCCGCGUCUGAUUAGCUAGUUGGUAAGGUAACGGCUUACCAAGGCGACGAUCAGUAGCCGACCUGAGAGGGUGAUCGGCCACAUUGGAACUGAGACACGGUCCAAACUCCUACGGGAGGCAGCAGUGGGGAAUAUUGCACAAUGGGCGAAAGCCUGAUGCAGCAACGCCGCGUGAGCGAUGAAGGCCUUCGGGUCGUAAAGCCCUGUCCUCAAGGAAGAUAAUGACGGUACUUGAGGAGGAAGCCCCGGGCUAACUACGUGCCAGCAAGCCGCGGUAAGCAUACUCGUA
RNAcentral lists this ribosomal RNA (481 nucleotides) under uncultured bacterium. Its description in RNAcentral is "bacterial SSU rRNA". It matches the Rfam family "Bacterial small subunit ribosomal RNA", at positions 28 to 529 of the family's 1533-position model. The record is from RNAcentral.